UUAAUAACAGAUAGAUUGACUAUAACACUUUUUAUGAUUCUCCAUUGAAAUUUAAUUUAAGUUGAUAUUAAAUAAAAUAAAAAUAACUAUAAAUACUUGAAUAUUGCUACCAGCAUAAAAGCACAAGUCCCAGAUAGGGCUUAAAAAUCUUAAAAACAUAAAACACACAAAUUAACAUAAUUAAAACACGUUCUCAACCAUUUGUAUCGCCAUUAUAGAAUUUUUUCUUUCGUUAUGCUGCAUCUUUUGUUAAGUGUGAAUUUCAAAAAAUUGUAAAUCUGUCAACUUCUUUUCAUUUCAUGUGAUUUUAAAUUUAUUUCAUCCACUUUUAACAACUUGGUGAUUUUACACCUUCAUAUUGAAUACAUAUGGAUACACCUGAAAGAAAGAAAGUUCAACCCACCCUUUUGCUGUGAAGGUUACACUCAAGAAUCAUUACAGUUAUGGAGCUCCAUCCCUGCUUGUCUUAUCCGCUGAUUGAAGACAAACAAUAAAGCAGCAAUUUCUGACAAAUAAAUAGUAAUAGAUGAUCAAAGCUAUAACUAGCAAGUAGGGACCAACCUUUAUCCUUUCUAUCAGUUUUAGCAAUUAAUUUGGCUCGAAGAAAACCAAACGCAGGUUAAGAGUAGAUCUCAAACAAAAGUAAAAUUCCUUAAAAGUUGCAGCAUAAAUUUAUGUUAUAAGAAAUGUCAUCAGAGUAUCAAAAUGCAUCUCGUUUAAAGUUGCUGUAGGACUCUAUAACCAAAGAAGAUAUCUCCAGGUAAGAUUUGACAUAUCACUUGCUUUCAGCAUCAUAUAGAUCUGUACUGAAAUGUCUAUUAAGGAAAAUAAACAAGAGCCCCAGAGCAAAGAAAAUACAUACAGUUGAUAAAUGGUACUUUUUCAGAAAAAAAAAUAAAAAAUUGAAGAUGACAAAUGUUAGAUGUAUCAGAGAAGUAUAUGCCAUACUUCAUCCAGAAAUGAAAAGAGAAAGAACUGAGAACUUGAUACUAUCAUAGCGUUGUCUAAUUACGAACCAUCUAACAAAAAGACACACUUAAGGGCGCGCGCACACACAUGCACACACAAGAUGCAGUUCCAAUACACAAGAAUCUCAUGACAAUCCCCAUAGAUGAGAUAAGCUCAAUACUCAAAGACUUAACAUUUUCAAUGCAUCUACCUUAAUGUUUGACUACUUAAGGUACAACAACAACAACCCAGUAUAAUCCCAUUAAGUGGGGUCUGGGGAGGGUAGUGUGUACGCAGACCUUACCCCUACCCUAGGGUAGAGAGGUNNNNNNNNNNNNNNNNNNNNNNNNNNNNNNNNNNNNNNNNNNNNNNNNNNNNNNNNNNNNNNNNNNNNNNNNNNNNNNNNNNNNNNNNNNNNNNNNNNNNNNNNNNNNNNNNNNNNNNNNNNNNNNNNNNNNNNNNNNNNNNNNNNNNNNNNNNNNNNNNNNNNNNNNNNNNNNNNNNNNNNNNNNNNNNNNNNNNNNNNNNNNNNNNNNNNNNNNNNNNNNNNNNNNNNNNNNNNNNNNNNNNNNNNNNNNNNNNNNNNNNNNNNNNNNNNNNNNNNNNNNNNNNNNNNNNNNNNNNNNNNNNNNNNNNNNNNNNNNNNNNNNNNNNNNNNNNNNNNNNNNNNNNNNNNNNNNNNNNNNNNNNNNNNNNNNNNNNNNCAAAUAGACCCCCAGCAUCCUUCCCUCCAAGAACUUCCCACCCUUGCUCUUGGGGAGACUCGAACUCACAACCUCUCGGUUGGAAGUGGGAGUUGCUUAGAAAAUGCUAGACAUUAUUCACACUGGUACCUUUCUGGUAGGGCCAUACAAAUUCAUAAUGUUUCAUGUCAGGGAUAGGUUGCACAACAGUUAUUAGGUUGAAUUCUUCGUAUUAUCUAUUAAUUUUCAUUCAAUUUAUUUGAAGCCACCUUGAAUUUCAGUUAACCCAAGUAUAACCUUUUGAUUAUUGUUGCUGCAGGCAAGACGCUACAAACAUGAUAAUCAAAUAAAAGUUUCACUUUAUCGAAACUGUGCAUUCUAAGCAUACAAAAUAUUGCUCUCCAUUUUCUCGUUAUCUAAGGUAAGAGUGACAAAGUAACACCUCAUAAAAACUGAGUUAUUGUAGCACACUUACGCAUAAAGCUCAAUAUGUGGGCAAAAUUAAUUCUCUUGAACCAUGGCGAAACAAAAAUCCCCAGACUAGGUUCGUCCUAUGAGCAGCAAUAACUUGCAUGUUAGCAUGCAAAAGUACAGCGGCUACAUAGAGUAAACCGCACCGAGUCUAAACAGGUAAUAUGCUAGGAGCUCCUGGUGCUCAUAGAAUAAACCGCACCGAGUCUAAACAGGUAAUGUGCUAGGAGCUCCUGGUGCUCACUUUCUAAGGUUUAAAAAUUGUCCUGAACAAGAGUAGCUUUCACCACAGGAAUUCUAGAAAAAGACUUGUGAAAGCAAUGAGAGAUGGUUGACUAUCAGUGCAAUACUACAAAUAAGAACUUCUUUCGUAACAUAGAACUAUCUGAACUCCGUAUUUGCAUUUGACUAGAUUUUGCAUGAUCUAGUAAUUUGUAUAUGAUAUGAAAAGGGAGAACUUAAAACAGAAAUUUGUUUUUCUUUUUCUUUCCCCUGCUCUCUCUUUCCUUUCUCCUGAGCCGAGGGUCGAUUGGAAACAACCUCUCUGCCCUUUCGGGUAGGGGUAAGGCCUAUGUACAUGUUACCCUCCCCAGACCCCACCUUGUGGGAAUAUACUGGGUAUUAGUAGUUGUUGUUGUUGAAUGGCCAAAGGUCUAAUACAAGAAGAUAACAUACCAAGAUCUCUAAGAUAGCUAUCAACAAAAGCAAAGACCAAAGGAUUGAAAUGAAGUGGUUUUAGUAUGUGCCACAAAUGUUAUCUAUGUGAAUCAAAGUCUCCCAGACACCUAUUCGUGCACUGUAGAUAUUCAUGGGAGGUAUGGACCAUGUUCCUAAAUGUAGCUGGUGUCAAGUGGGUGGCUCCGGCUUCUAUAGAAGACAUAGUGAAGAGUUGGUGUAACGGAUUGAGAAGAAGCUCAAAUACAUCUGGAACGCAGCAUCACUAUUUAUUUUUGAUCAGUUUAGAAAGAAAGAAACAAUAGAUGCCCUGAGAACAGAUACACACCCUUGGCAUGUCUGAAAUUUCAAGUCUUACAGCUUUUGACUCUACGCAAUUUAAAAGAUGCUUAUGAUGUAAAUACUUUUGUAGACUUCUUAAACUCCCUGCAAAAUUGAGCGUAGAGUCCUUUUUGUUUUUCACCUUCCUAUAAAAAAUAUAAUAAAAAAAGAGCAGCCUGGUGCACGAAGCAUCCACGUCCACGCAGUGUCCGGGAAAGGGUCACACACUAUUGGGGUUGUAAUGUCAGCAACCUCACCCGUCGCAAGCGUCAAUGGGUGAUUCCACGGGUCGACCCUGUGACCUACAUGUCACAUGGAGACGAUUUUGCCGUUGCUCUAAGGCAAUGUUAUCAAAGGUGAAAAGCGCAAAAAAACUCUAAGGUCUGUUGAGGCUUUAAGUGCAAAACACAAAUAAAACGUGGGCUUUAAAGAAGAAAGGCGCAAAUAGAAAAAGAACUACAAAUAUAUACGUGUAGUCCAAGACUGAUAUCUAUAAGCAAAAAUAUGGACAAAGAAAUUGAAGAAAAUUUGCAAUAAAGUGAAAUAUCAAUUGUUUACUGUCGCUUCUUCAGGAUAAUGCUCAUUGGCAAGGAAAAGUAUGCCUUAGUGCCUUGAUGACAAUACAGAAGUGCGCACUAAGCAGAGGCAAAUUGCUCAACAUGUUUUGAGCCUCGCUUUAGGGCUUAAGCGCACCUUUGAUAACAGUGCCCUUCAUCAAAAAAAUAAAAAUAGUAAAGAAAAAACCAGCAAGGACUAAGGUUCUACUUCCUAAAAAAACCAGCAAGGACUAAAGGUUCUACUUCCUCUAAUAUAACUUUGUUAUGCUAGAAAACGUAAUUCUGGGGACAUCACUUCACCAUACACUUUUUACGCUUCUCGGACUAGAAUAACUAGAGCCUUAAAAUAUGCGAAUUAAUAGCAUUCUCAAAUACAUUCAUUAAACUGAUCAGAUCAUGAUUAACGACAAAUUACACAGUAAGAAGCAUGCAUCCCUCCUCAAUCACAAGGCUAAAGAGAUUUAAAUUCUAUGCUAUCAGCAAUGCUGUUUCGACAUAACCACUAUAAGGGGUCGUUUGGUAUAUUAUAUAGGAGAAUUAAUCAGUGUGGAAAACUUUGUAUUGAGUUUAUACAGUGUGUGGUUGUGUUUUGCAUAUCAGGAUAAUUAAUCCAUGUAUGCCUUAAUACACUAAUCAACAACAUGGAAUAACUAAUCCAUGUAUAUCUAAUACAUGGAUAAAACAUCAAAGGGAAAAUAUUAUCCUUGUCUUUUUCCUAGAAGCCAAUGAAGGUCAAGCAUCCAAAAGUAUACUUGUGAACUCAUUUAUUUUUAUUUGGAAAAAAUAAAUAUGUUAAAUGAUAUAUUGUAUAUCCAAUUUUAGUGCAAUGAACCAAACACCCAACAAGAAAUAAUCCAUGUAUCAUGAAUCCAUGUGUUGAUUAGUGUAAUUAGUAAGAAGAUUUGAUUAGAUUAGAUUUUAUUCUCUAGCCUAAUUAUAGGAUGAUUAUAGCCUAAUUAUAGGUUGAUUACAUUAUGUAGCUUAAUUAGUGUAAUCACUGAUUUCCUUUCCUAGUUUAGCCAUAGGAUGCAUUGUAUAAAUAUCAGUACUCUUGAUGUGAAUAAUAUACAGAAAUACAAGAAGUUCUAUUCUUCUUCUUGAAAUCUACAUGGUAUCAGAGCCUCUGCUGCCAUUUAGAGGUGAGUUUCCUCCCUCAGCAGCAUUAUAGGGGUCCAAUUUUUGAAAGAGGUUGAGUUUUUUCCUUCCUCACGGUGGUUGUCCGCAUUAAAGCCACUAUAUACCAGUAGUGUGGAAAAACUAACACCACUACAAGCUUCCUCAGUCGAAUUUUUUUUUUCAUCAACAGUAGGGUUCCAGUAAGUUUCCAGUGAACACGGGAAAAAUAUGAUAUAUUGCGACGGCGACCAAACCCGAGUGAGGAGCUCCGAGAAACGCUGCCGCACGCGCUCCCACGCGCCACCAAACACUCCCAGCUCCGGCGCGCGUGAAUCCCACGCGCCGGUGAGUAGGCGGCUUUCCGACAAUUUUUUUUGGAAUUUUUUUCUCCCUCCUGGUCGCCUGCACAUUCCGACCAAACCCUCAGUCGGAAAUUUUUUUUCAUCAAUAGUAGGGUUCCAGUAAGUUUCCAGUGAACAUUUCUGUUUUUUUUUCUUUUUGCUGCUUAUUUCCAGUAGACCACCUUUUUCUCUUGGAGUUCAAGGUUAAUUUCCGGAUUAGUAAUUAAGAAACAAUGGGGGACACCAAAUCAACAGAUGAUUCUCUUUCACAUAUGGUUAAUUCUGUCUCACAAGUCAGCACAGUUAAGUUGGAUGGGGCUGGUACAUAUCUUGCUUGGUCAAGGUCUUAUUUGCAAUUAUUAAGUCCAGAAAGUUGCUUAAUUAUAUUAGUGGAGAAAAGAAAGCACCUGUUGUAACUGAUGCUAACUUUUGGUCAAGGUCUUGUUAGCUUUUUAUUAAGUCCAGAAAGUUGCUUAGUUUAUUACUGGAGAAAAGAAAGCACCCGUUGGUGACUGAUGCUAACUAUAGUCAGUGGGAUUCAGAUAACUCUCUAAUUAUGACAUGGCUUUUGAAUACUAUGCACCCUCGAAUUUCUAAACAGUAUUUGUUGCUUGAUACUGCUGAAAAGAUCUAGAAUUCUACUAAGCGCACUUACUCUCGUAAAGGAAAUGAUGCUCAGGUCUUUGAUGCCACUAAGCAAGGUGAUUUGACUAUCACUGACUACUAUUCCGAGUUAACUGGGUUAUGGAAGGAAAUUGACUACUAUCUGGAUCUCCAAGCGAGGUGCUCCGACGAUGCAGUUCUUUUUCAAUAUUCCGAGUUAACUAGGUUAUGGCGGGAAAUUGACUACUAUCAGGAUCUCCAAGCGAGGUGCUCCGACGAUGCAGCUCUUUUUCAAAAAUUGGUUGAAAAAGAAAGAAUAUAUGAUUUUUUGGCUGGUUGAAUCCAGAAUACGAUCAGAUCAGGGUCCAAGUUCUUGGUAAAGCUCCUUUUUCUUCUCUUGAGGAUGCAUACUCAUAUGUUCAACGGGAAGAAAUCUGACGAGGAGUCAUGCUUUAUUCCACACCAACCGAGAAGUCUGGGUUAACUGUGUCUCAUGAGCAAACAAAGGCGUUCACUUCUGAUAAAGAUCACUUGCACUAUGACUACUGUGGAAGGUCAAGACAUACAAAAAAGACAUGCUGGAAACUGCAUGGUAGACCAACUAGAGGUCGUGGAGGCAAGCGUGUUGGUCUAUCAAGGGGUCAAGCUCAUAUUGCAGAAAAUAUGGGAACAUUCGGAGAAAAUGCUUCAUGAGAAGCUUUGUCUUCGGAGGAAGUUCAGCACCUUCGCCGUCUCCUAAACAAACUUGACACUUCUAAUGUUGAGUCUUCCAAUUUGUUACAGUCAGGUAUUGCUUUAACCUUCAAACAAGGAAGAGGAUUGGCAGUGAUAAAUUGCAUGAUGACUUAUAUUGGAUUGAUGAAACUUGAGCCUUUGGUCAAGCCUUUUUUGGAGGAAAUAAGAACAUCAACCAAGAAAUAAUACAGUGGCAUAGACGGCUGGUGCACCCAUCAUUUUUUGUUCUAAAGAAAUUAUAUCCUAGUUUGUUUUCUAGAACUGAGUUUGAAUUUUUGUCUUGUGAUGCUUGUGAAUAUGCCAAGCACACUAGAAACUCUUAUCUUUUAAGUGACAAUAAAAGCACUAUCCUUUUUUUGACUAUUCACUCUGAUGUAUGGGGUCCCACUCAAACAGUUUCCUUGUCUGGUAGUCGAUGGUUUGUUACUUUUAUUCAUUGUUGCACUAGGAUGACUUGGGUAUACUUGUUAAAAGGCAAAAAAUGAAGUCUUCUCCUGUUUUCAGUCGUUUCAUAAGAUGAUUUGUAUCCAAUUUGAGGUUAAGAUAAAAAUCUUGCGAACUGACAAUGGCACAAAAAAUAUACAGGUAAAGAUUUUGGUGUGUAUUUGGAGUCUUUUGGGAUAAUACAUCAAACUAGUUGUCCUUAUACUAGUGCACAAAAUGGGGUUGCUAAAAGGAAAAAUAGGCAUUUGCUAGAAGAACUCAAGAUUGUGGGAUAAUACAUCAAACUAGUUGUCCUUAUACUAGUGCAAAAAAUGGGGUUGUUGAAAGAAAAAAUAGGCAUUUGCUAGAAGUAGCGAGAUCUCUAAUGUUUACUAUGAAUUUACCAAAACCUUACUGGGGGAAUGCCAUUCUAGUAGCUGCCUACCUUAUCAAUAGAAUGCCCCUAAAAAAAACCUCAAUUUUAAAAGUCCUUUGGAAGCUUUGAAGAGUAAGAAUGAUUAUAUUGUUCCUCCAAAUGUGUUUGGCUGUGUUUGCUUUGUUCACACUAGGAGUUCGCGAAAACUUGAUCCUAGAGCUAUAAAAUGUGUGUUUAUUGGGUAUUCUCCAACACAUAAAGGGUAUAAAUGCUAUCAUCCUCCUUCUAGGAGAUCCUUCAUCAGCAUGGAUGUUACCUUUCGAGAAUCUGAGCCCCUAUUACAAUGGAAAACCAUCACCUCUUCAAGGGGAGAGCUCUAAGAAUGAAGAGAUGAUUCCCACUGUUGAAAUGAUUCCUACUAUUGAAGCCACUAAGACAGGAGAAUGUGAAAUUGAAGAAAGAAUUCGGGGGGGACUAUUGGGCGUUUGGAUAAACCUGAUUUGAUGACUUAUUCAAGAAAAAGAAAGCUGAAGAAGUCAUCGUGCAAUCUACUGAAGCUCAUCCCUCUUCUGUGGUUGAAACCUCUUCUACUGGUGAGUUAUGUACAUUCCCUAGUGAGUUAGAUGUACCUAUUGCUCAUAGAAAAGGAGUCAGAUCUUGCACCAAACAUCCUUUAUCUAACUUUGUCUCCUAUAAUUCGUUAUCUCCUUCCUAUAGAGUUUUUGCCGUGUCUGUUUCUUCUGUGUCUAUUUCCCAGAAUUGGAGGGAAGCUUUUGAAGAUUCUAAAUGGAAGCAAGCUAUGAUUGAAAAAAUGAAGGCCUUGUCAAAGAAUAAGACUUGAGAUCUUGUCAAUUCACCACUAAAUAAGAAAUUGGCUGGCAGCAAAUGGGUCUUUAUUGUGAAGCACAAAGUUGAUGGCUCGAUUGAAAGGUUCAAAGCAAGACUGGUGGCUAAGGGGUUCACUCAAACUUAUGGAGUGGAUUAUCAGGAGACAUUUGCCCCUGUUGCAAAAAUGAACACUAUUAGAAUACUUUUGUCGUGUGCAGAUUGAAGAAAGUCUUGUACGGACUGAAGCAAUCUCCAAGAGCUUGGUUUGACAGAUUCUCCAAAGCAAUGAUCUCCUUCGGUUACCAACAAAGAUUAAUCUUGAUUGGAACUUACAACAGUUUGAUGUGAAGAACGCAUUUCAUGGCGACUUAGAAGAAGAGGUGUAUAUGGAGAUUCCUCCUGGAUUUGAUACUGAACAAAGUCAAGGAAAAGUGUGCAGGUUGAAGAAAGACUUGUAUAGACUGAAGCAAUCUCCAAGAGCUUGGUUUGACAGAUUCUCCAAUAGAUUGAAGAAAGCCUUGUACGGAUUGAAGAAAUCUCCAAGAGCUUGGUUUGACAGAUUCUCCAAAGCAAUGAUCUCUUUCGGUUACUAACAAAGUAAUGCCGAUUAUACCCUCUUCAUGAAACACCAAAAAGGGUAAACUCACUCUUCUUAUAGUUUAUGUUGAUGACAUAAUGACAGGGAAUGACAAUGAAAAGAUGGCCCGAUUGAAGAAGUUGUUAGCCCAGGAAUUUGAGAUCAAAGAUCUAGGGAAGUUGCAAUACAUCUUGGGAAUUGAGGUUGCUAGAUCAGAAGGAGGGAUCUUUAUUUCUCAAAGGAAAUAUAUCCUAGACCUUUUGAAAGAAACUGGUAUGACAGGUUGCAAGCCAGCAGAAUCUCCCAGAAAGGAAAUAUCUCCUAGACCUCUUGAAAGAAACUGGUAUGACAGAUUGCAAACCAACAGAAUCUCCCAUUGAAAGUAAUCACAAGUUACAAACUAGUGUUGGAAAGUCAAUUGAUAAGGAGAGAUAUCAGAGGUUGGUUGGAAAGCUUAUUUAUCUCUNNNNNNNNNNNNNNNNNNNNNNNNNNNNNNNNNNNNNNNNNNNNNNNNNNNNNNNNNNNNNNNNNNNNNNNNNNNNNNNNNNNNNNNNNNNNNNNNNNNNNNNNNNNNNNNNNNNNNNNNNNNNNNNNNNNNNNNNNNNNNNNNNNNNNNNNNNNNNNNNNNNNNNNNNNNNNNNNNNNNCGGAAAGGGUCUACUUUUCUCUAAACAUGGUCACCUCCAGAUAGAAGCCUUUACAGAUGCGAAUGGGGCUGGAUCUCUAGAUGACAGAAGAUCUACGUCUGAUUAUUGUACACUCGUGGGAGGGAAUGUAGUUACUUAGAGAAGCAAGAAACAAAAUGUUGUUGCUAGAUCCAGUGCAGAAGCAGAAUAUAGAGCAAUGGACCGGGGUGUUUGUGAACUGAUUUGGCUACAAAAGUUAAUAGAUGAAUUGAGAUUGUCUGAGAUAGGGAAGCUUUUGUUAUAUUGCGACAACAAGGCUGCAAUUAGUAUAGCUCAUAAUCUGGUUCAAACAAAACAUGUUGAAAUCGAUCGACAUUUCAUUAAAGAAAAGAUUGUUGGUGGUACCUUGAGUUUGCUUCAUGUAUCGUCAGAAAAGCAGCUAGCAGAUGUGGUCACAAAAGGUCUUAGCAGAGAGACUUUUCACACUUUGGUUUGCAUGUUGGGCAUGUGCGACAUCUUUGCACCAAAUUGAGGGAGAGUGAUGAUUAGUGUAAUUAAUAGGAAUAUUUGAUUAGAUUAGAUUUUAUACGACAUAUUUGCACCAACUUGACGGGGAGUGUUGAUUAGUGUAAUUAGUAAGAAGAUUUGAUUAGAGUUGAUUAGAUUAGAUUUUAUUCUCUAACCUAAUUAUAGGAUGACUAUAACCUAAUUAUAGGAUGAUUAUAUUCUGUAUCUUAAUUAGUGUAAUCACUAAUUUCCUUUCCUAGUUUAGCCAUAGGAUACAUUGUAUAAAUAUCAGUACUCUUGAUGUGAAUAAUAUACAAAAAUACAAGAAGUUCUAUUCUUCUUCUUGAAAUCUUCACCAUGUAUUACUAAUACCUACAUAACUAAUCCUUGCAUUAUAAUCCAUGUAUUCUUAGUACCAAACGACCCGUAAUACGGUAAUAUUAUUGGGUAUCAGCAUUAAGACGUUAGACAAUGUUUUUUUUGAUAUUGGCAUUCAGAUCGAUGCAACUAGGACAAAGAACUUGUUCUGUUAGGCAUCCUCACAAUUGUUGGAAAAUUUAAUAUUAGAUAUAAACAGGAUUCUUAAUUUUCGGUGCCACUCGCGUCGACACGACAGACAUACAGUGUUUUCUUUUAAGAAGAAACACAAUGAUUUGAAACCAAAGCAAAAGUUAGGGUGAAAUUGAAAAUAGAAUACCUUGUAUAUAGAAAUUUCCAUGUCAGUCCUUUUUCUUUUAUCUCCUCGGAUUCUCUUCUUGACAAUAGUUUCUCCUUCUCAGAAUACUUUGUGAGUUUUCUACAUAUUGUCUCAUAUUUUAGACACAUUCUUUUGUAAAUCUGUUUUUAGAUAUUUGAAUUAUUUAGUCGAAUCUUCGCAUCCGUAUCCGACUAUCUGUACUUGGGUAUGCACCCCCAAAUCUCAAAAUUCAGAUUAUAAAAGAUCUGACCUCCAAUUCCGCAACUGCGUAAGACACCCACACCUGAAUCCGAGCAACUUAGCAUCUUAAUCAGAUUUAUGGCUAACAGAAAUGGAUUGGUGUGUACCAUAAUAGACAUUCUUUUCCUACUGGAUUGGUUUGGAGGCUUAUUCUAAAGGAAAAGCCAUGGUUGAUCCUUAAUUUGGUUGCGGGAAGAGAUAAGUAAGUGUCAUGGUUAACCUUGACUUGAGGAAAUUAGAACUUGAUUGGUCUAUUUGCUACUUGAUUUAUGAGUGGGGACGACAUAUAUGCAAAGUGACGAGUAUAUAUACGUAGUCAUCGGUUAAGCAGCGGAGUUAGGAUACUUCGACGUAUAUGCAAGGUGACCGAUUUUCAUGUUAUACUUGUUUUUUCUAUUUUGUUGUUAUUUCAUUUAACGCAUACAGGUUUAUAGUGAGUGUCUUACUAUAGCCUCGUCACUACUUCGUCGAGGUUAAAAUCGGCACUUACGGAGUACAUGGGGUCGGUUGUACUCAUACACUUCUGCGCUUCUUGUGUAGAUUCGAGUGUUGGUCCCAGCAACAGAUAGUGGAGGCUCGCUCGGACUAUCCCAUCACGGAGACUUGAGAUAUAGCUACACGACGUUGUAGAACCUGAAGUCCUCUUAUUAUUUCUUGCACUAUUAUUUCAUUCAGGAAGCUGUAUUUUUGUUUCAGACCUUGGUUGUAGUAUUUUGUAUUAGUAGCUCAUAUACUUGUGACACUAGAUUCCGGGGUUUUGACUAGACGGCAUAUUGGGAUUUAUAAUAUCUAUUUUGAAGUUCUACAGUCUUUAUUUCUUAUUUAACUGUUUCUAAAAAUUGUUAAAAUGAAUAAUGUGUAGCUAAUGUUGUCUUGCCUAGCAAGUGAACGUUAGGCGCCAUCAUGAUCCCGCGGUUGGGAUAUCGGGUCGUGACACGAAGAUUCUAAAUUUGAAAAUGAUUUAACUUAAACUUCCCAUUUUAUCCUUACUAACAAGCUUUUAUAGCCACACAACUGUUAUGACAAUUUUAAGACUACAGUUUCAAAAGUUUUACAAUCACACAAAUGUAAUGGCAUGCUUAAGACUGCAAGUUUUAAAAGUUUACAUCUUCUUAAACUUCAUUCCUAAUCAAACUAUGCCACAAAAAUAGAAACAAAGGAGUAUAUGAGUUGUAAAAGAUGGACUUAUUCACUAUCUAUCGAAACAAUCAAAUGAUUCCCAAUACUGCAGGAGUAUAAUGACUGUAGGUCUUGAGGCAAUACUACAUGAGUAUAAUGAUAUAAUCUUGAGGCUACAAUUGUAAAUGUACUCACAAUAUUCUAAAGUCAAUACACAUUAUAUUGGAAAUGUUGUGGACAAAAAAGGAGUGUAAUAAAGGCGAAAAGUGCAAAAAAGCUCUAAGAUCCUUUGGGGCUUUAAGCGCAAAUAAAGCAUGGGCUUUAAUGAAGAAAGGCGCAUAUGGAGAAAAACUACAAAUAUGUAUUGUAUAAUCCAAGACUAAUAUCUAUAGGCAUAGGCAUAAAUACCAAAUAUAUGGACAAAAAGAUUGAAAAUAUUUUACGAUAAAGUGAAAUAUCAAUUGCUUAGUGUCGCCUUUUUAGGAUUACGCUCAUUAGCAAGGAAAAGUAUGCCUUAGAGCCUUGAUGACAACAUUAAAGCGCACACUAAGCGAGGCGAAGCGCCUAACAUGUUUUGAGCCUCGCUUCAGCCUUCAGGGCUUAAGCACACCUUUGAUAACACUGCUUAAAAGAAAGAAAGAAAGAAAAGAGACUGGCUAAUUGGGAAAAAGGGAUAAAGGUGUCGUCUCCGGCAUUUGGAUGGUAACAAAAAAUAUUAUAUAAUUUAAUUUUUAAAGUUUAUAUGCAUAAUUUCAAGCUAUUUUUCACAUAAGGUGAGAUAUUCCAUAUGAAAUCCUAAAAUAAUGGAAAAACAUAUCCUACUUGUACCUCUUAUUUUAACUGUUCAAUUUUAUCAAACAAGCUGCAAAGGCUUUAAAUGGUGGGUUAUCGCACAACAUUUGUGAUAAGGCUUCCAGUUGAUGGUCAAACCCAACCAAACAUACCUAUAUCUACAUCUAGUGGAUUAACUUUGUUACCGUUGAAUUCGAUGAAGGAACUCACCUAUCAACAAUUCUGCCAAUUCUUUUUGAUAACCCAAAAAAUUCUUGAGGGUCAGCAGCUCAAGGUUCGAAAUAAUAGGCUCAUCCGUCUACCCUUCUCCACUUAAACAUCAUGCACAAUUCUUCGAGCGUACUAACAUGCUUUGAGAACAGAAGAAUUCCAAUAAUCUGUAGAAAUACAGAAGGAAGCACCAAGCAGUUUUUUCAUUGUUAUCAGACAUUUUUCAAUAACCUAACACCAACAACUCUCUAACUAAAAACUGAAUUAGCAAAUCAACUUUAUGAAGAACAGAGUGAUGCAUACCUGCCACUGCUCUUACUCAUUUAUCGUCUUUCACCUCCUCUAAUUGUAAUAACAACUACCAUACACAAAUAGAGGUCCCUCUUCUCAUCCCAUCUUUUGCACGGUCAACCUGUCCAACUAUCCUCUUGCCAAAGCAUAUUGUCAAUGUCCUAACGGUUUUGCUACUAAAUGAAAUUCCACAUAGAUACCAAGUUUAGUCUCAAUAGGAUCCAUUUAAACCAACCAAAAUCAAAGUGAAACCCAAACUGGACCUUACAAACCCCUGGGCACUUUAUCUUAUUACAAGGUCUGCAAAUGUUAAAGAACCUAUUAUGCAAAAUCCUAGCAAGUAUUACUGAAGUUCUCACAUAAAAACCACAAUACAGGAGGAAAUUCUACAGGAAACAAAUGUAUUUGCUUAAAUUCCUAAAACAUUUUCUUUAUGAGAAUUUAGGAGUACAACAUCAAGUACGAUGUGAAAAUGUCCUAUGAGAUGAUAUUUUUUUGAAUCAUUUUCUGGUGUUAGGUUAGGUUGGUGGCAUAUGAUAAUAUGCAUGCACGGCAUUUAGCUGGUGUUCUGUAAUAGUUAUGAAUUGCCAACCAAACACCAUAAAAUGAUUAAAUGAGAAAGGAAAAAAAAUCUCUAAAAUACCAAAUAGAACCUUUCUUCACAUAUCUAUUUCAAGACAAAGCAUCAUCUAUUAACCCCACUGUACGAUUACUCUAAUGUCUUUGAACUCAUUCUAUGCACUAUAGACUUGUAUUAAAACAUAAGCCUUCAGAAUUUUCUUUGUGUGUGUGUGUGUGUGUGUGUGUUGGUGGGGGGUGGGCGGUUGAAAAAGCAAUGUUAAAGUGGAGGAACGAAAGGAUACACUAAAUAAGUGCCAUGGGCAAAUGCACCAGCCAAAACACCAUAGAACAAACGAUCCCUAA
RNAcentral lists this long non-coding RNA (14059 nucleotides) under Nicotiana benthamiana. RNAcentral describes it as "long non-coding RNA (NBEN_LNC026871)". Lineage: Eukaryota; Viridiplantae; Streptophyta; Magnoliopsida; Solanales; Solanaceae. The record is from RNAcentral.